RNAcentral lists this ribosomal RNA (530 nucleotides) under uncultured bacterium. Its description in RNAcentral is "bacterial SSU rRNA". It matches the Rfam family "Bacterial small subunit ribosomal RNA", at positions 164 to 680 of the family's 1533-position model. The record is from RNAcentral.
UAAUACCGUAUAACAAUCGAAACCGCAUGGUUUUGAUUUGAAAGGCGCUUUCGGGUGUCGCUGAUGGAUGGACCCGCGGUGCAUUAGCUAGUUGGUGAGGUAACGGCUCACCAAGGCCACGAUGCAUAGCCGACCUGAGAGGGUGAUCGGCCACAUUGGGACUGAGACACGGCCCAAACUCCUACGGGAGGCAGCAGUAGGGAAUCUUCGGCAAUGGACGAAAGUCUGACCGAGCAACGCCGCGUGAGUGAAGAAGGUUUUCGGAUCGUAAAACUCUGUUGUUAGAGAAGAACAAGGAUGAGAGUAACUGUUCAUCCCUUGACGGUAUCUAACCAGAAAGCCACGGCUAACUACGUGCCAGCAGCCGCGGUAAUACGUAGGUGGCAAGCGUUGUCCGGAUUUAUUGGGCGUAAAGCGAGCGCAGGCGGUUUCUUAAGUCUGAUGUGAAAGCCCCCGGCUCAACCGGGGAGGGUCAUUGGAAACUGGGAGACUUGAGUGCAGAAGAGGAGAGUGGAAUUCCAUGUGUAGCG